Molecule: ribosomal RNA, 696 nt
Filed under: Cutibacterium acnes
Lineage: Bacteria; Bacillati; Actinomycetota; Actinomycetes; Propionibacteriales; Propionibacteriaceae
Description: bacterial SSU rRNA
Rfam family: Bacterial small subunit ribosomal RNA
Source: RNAcentral
GACGAACGCUGGCGGCGUGCUUAACACAUGCAAGUCGUAACGGCAAAGGCCCUGCUUUUGUGGGGUGCUCGAGUGGCGAACGGGUGAGUAACACGUGAGUAACCUGCCCUUGACUUUGGGAUAACUUCAGGAAACUGGGGCUAAUACCGGAUAGGAGCUCCUGCUGCAUGGUGGGGGUUGGAAAGUUUCGGCGGUUGGGGAUGGACUCGCGGCUUAUCAGCUUGUUGGUGGGGUAGUGGCUUACCAAGGCUUUGACGGGUAGCCGGCCUGAGAGGGUGACCGGCCACAUUGGGACCGAGAUACGGCCCAGACUCCUACGGGAGGCAGCAGUGGGGAAUAUUGCACAAUGGGCGGAAGCCUGAUGCAGCAACGCCGCGUGCGGGAUGACGGCCUUCGGGUUGUAAACCGCUUUCGCCUGUGACGAAGCGUGAGUGACGGUAAUGGGUAAAGAAGCACCGGCUAACUACGUGCCAGCAGCCGCGGUGAUACGUAGGGUGCGAGCGUUGUCCGGAUUUAUUGGGCGUAAAGGGCUCGUAGGUGGUUGAUCGCGUCGGAAGUGUAAUCUUGGGGCUUAACCCUGAGCGUGCUUUCGAUACGGGUUGACUUGAGGAAGGUAGGGGGAGAAUGGAAUUCCUGGUGGAGCGGUGGAAUGCGCAGAUAUCAGGAGGAACACCAGUGGGCGAAGGCGGUUCUCUG